This 1090-nucleotide ribosomal RNA is filed under the name uncultured Nitrososphaerota archaeon. RNAcentral's name for it is "bacterial SSU rRNA". It matches the Rfam family "Archaeal small subunit ribosomal RNA", at positions 1 to 1060 of the family's 1478-position model. Lineage: Archaea; Thermoproteati; Nitrososphaerota. The record is from RNAcentral.
UUCGCCCUUUUCCGGUUGAUCCUGCCGGACCCGACUGCUAUCGGAUUGAGAUUUAGCCAUGCGAGUCGAACGCUUCCCUGUUGCGGGAGGCGUGGCGUACGGCUCAGUAACACGUAGUCAACCUGCCCUGGAGGCAUGGACAACCCCGGGAAACUGGGAUUAAUCCAUGAUAGGUCAUCUCAUCUGGAAGGAGAGAUGGCUUAAAGGGGUGCGAGAGCUUCUUUCUUGUAUCUGCUCCAGGAUGGGACUGCGGCCGAUCAGGCUGUUGGUGGGGUAAUGGCCCACCAAACCUGUAACCGGUACGGGCCUUGAGAGAGGGGGCCCGGAGAUGGACACUGAGAGAAGGGUCCAGGUCCUACGGGGCGCAGCAGGCGCGAAACCUUCGCAAUGCGCGAAAGCGUGACGAGGUUAAUCCGAGUGGUCCCCGCUGAGGGGAUCUUUUGUCGGCUGUAAAAAGGCCGGUGAAUAAGGGGAGGGCAAGUCUGGUGUCAGCCGCCGCGGUAAUACCAGCUCCUCGAGUGGUCGGGGCGAUUAUUGGGCCUAAAGCAUCCGUAGCCUGUUCUGUAGGUCCUCUGUUAAAUCCAACGGCUUAACCGUUGGCCCGCAGAGGAUACCGCAGGACUAGGAGGCGGGAGAGGUGGACGGUACUCCACGUGUAGGGGUAAAAUCCUUUAAUCCGUGGAAGACCACCAGUGGCGAAGGCGGUCCACCAGAACGCGCUCGACGGUGAGGGAUGAAAGCUGGGGGAGCGAACCGGAUUAGAUACCCGGGUAGUCCCAGCCGUAAACGAUGCAAGCUAGAUGAUCCGGUCGCAAAUCCCGAUCGGAGUGUCGCAGGGAAGCCGUUAAGCUUGCCGCCUGGGGAGUACGGUCGCAAGACUGAAACUUAAAGGAAUUGGCGGGGGAGCACCACAAGGGGUGAAGCCUGCGGUUCAAUUGGAGUCAACGCCAGGAAACUUACCAGGAGAGACAGCAGGUUGAGGGUCAAGCUGAAGACUUUACCUGACGAGCUGAGAGGAGGUGCAUGGCCGUCGCCAGCUCGUGCCGUGAGGCGUCCUGUUAAGUCAGGCAACGAGCGAGACCCAAAGGGC